UCGUAUUGUAGUAUUCACAGUCAAUCGAAAAUUGUGCAGCAAUAAGAACGUAUUCAAGUGUAGCGUGCUUAAUCGAUGAAAGCGGAAAAAGAAAUUUUUGAAGAAAUAAUCCCGAAUGAUUGAGUUUACGUUUGGCCAAUAGAACGGAGUAUGGAUUUUUGCUAGUUUGUUUUUCAUGGAAAAGUACCUGCUUGCUUCGCUCGUAGCAUCGACUCGACUAACGCUAUGUAUCCCAAGGGAAUUUCGUGUAAUGGAGAACGAGAGAACAUAAACAUCGCUUACCGGGUAUAACUCAAGAAAGAUAUUAUUAGAUAUCGAAAUUUCAGAUAAAUCCUGCCUUUUGAUAAAUAACAGAAAGAGCUGCAAUACACAGCGGAGGAAUGUUCGAGAAAUUAUAUCAGAAAUAAUGAUAAGAGGUUUUCACGUAACUUCCUUCUGCAUCUUUUCUUAAUUUAAAAUCAUUUUAGUCACCUUUUCCUAUAUGAUUUUCGAGAAAUCAUUUAAGUUUCUUGACAACAUGUCUGACAAGUUGUAUGACUGAAGACGUAAAUUCCCAUAAAAAUAGUUUAGGCAUCAAAACGAAAAAAAAAUUAAUUAAUAUUAGAUCGUUGCCGUGCGGCUUAACGAUAUAAAUUUGUUGUGUGCUGCGAACAAUCCGCGCUCGAUAAGAAUAAGUUAAGUUACGCAGCUAAUCACCGCGAGCGAAUUAAUUGACUUGCUAACUAAUCGAUAUGUGCGCAAACGUCCUCUCGUGUAACGGGCGAGAGGGAAAGCAUCGAGAUAGCGGCUUUGAGCCGCUAUCAAGUACCGCGUCCGUGGGGACUUCUAUAUUGGUCUCUCAUCACCGUCCGAGCGAGAGUUGAAUGCCUUAUUCAUAAAUAUCGAUUCCGUAUGCAAGCGUAUUAUAUCCAUCGCUAGAGUAUGCAGAAUAAAUACUCGUUUCACGAGGAGCGGUCUGCAAAUGGAGAAGAACUGAAAGGGGAGAGGACAAACAUCGCCCCGACGCGUACGCAGCAAGAAAGAGAAGAAUAAAGUAGGGCAACGGGAGGGGAGACAAAAGUGAUAUGAUUACAUGCCAAAAGUCCAAUUAUCAGAGAUCGAUGAAAUUGAAAGAAACUAUAUUGAGAUAUGCUUGAGGGCUUUUUGCUCUUCCUAAUAUAUUAUAGCGGCAACUUAAACGCUCUUCUCUUUCCAGACCAUUCCCUUCUCUCUUAAUCACACGAUUUUAUUUAUGUCGGUAGGAAAAUGGUGGAUUACGUUUUUCCAACAAGUACGCGAAUAACGUUGAUGGGCAAACGGAAAAAUACGUGGGUAUUUAUUCCGCGUCGCUCUCACAACUCCCCGGUGGCUGAAACUUUUUUAAUGGAUGGGAAUCGAUUGCAAAUCUUCGGAGAAUAUCUUUAAAAUGAAAUGAGAGAGAGAGAGAGAGAGAGAGAGACUCUACAAGAGCAAAAGAACACACAGGUUUUCUAUUAAAUAUAGAUGUAAUUCCCAACUAAGUUACUUACAAUUAGUUUGGAAGUGCGCGUGUAAAUUUGUAAAUCCCAAGAGUCAGUAUAAAUUCACGUUCAACUAGAUCACUGCUGAUAAACUACUUUAUUCCGACGAUAUAACAAAUUGAUUCGUCCAUACGGUUGAACUAAGGAGAAAAUCUACGGCAAGCGCAAGUGAAACUGAGGAAAAAAAACAGUACUUUUUACGCGCGUUCUGCAGAGGUCGGACUUGGCGGUCUCGCCGAAGUGGUUUCUUACCACUAGACGACGACGACGUCGCUCUCUCGACGAGAGCUCUUCCUCAAACGACAUGUGAGGUUUUUUUUUCCUCAACUCGCCCGUACGCGUCACCUUUGUCACCGAUCACUCACGAUCGGCGCCGACCGUGCCGCGAUGAAUCAAACGAAUUGGCGGCGCCGAGGCGUCAUGCCAGGUCGAUUUCCAUUUGUGCGCGCCAACGUCCCGGCACACCUCCGUUUAUCGCGCGAUUUCGAGUCUACGAGAAAGUUAGCGAAACGAUCGCCGAUCUCCGGGGCUAACUAGCGACCUAAGAAUACCUGUCGCGCUGAGAACAUGAUUGCACUAGCGGAGCAGAGCCGCUCAACCUUUAGAAAAUUGCCGCUUCUUAAAAUAAAGCUUUCUUAGACCUUAAAGAUAAAACGCGAACUAUAAUAACUAGAAUUUCUCCAUGCCUCAUUGUAACUUAUAUGGGGCGCAAGGAUAUAAAGAUGAUGGCUCAUAUGGGUGAAAGGAAAGCAAGUGCUCUUAGAAGAAGGCGGAGGAAAAAGCUUUCGCCUUGAAGCAUGACGCGGAUGACAUUUUUUUUCUUCUACAAAAUUGUUCGAAUCAAUCUAACUGCGACGUUAUAUCUCGCGCCUCCUAUUUUUGGAUACCUGGCGCUACUCUCGAUCACCCUUAAGGCCGAUCAGCCUCAUCGAUAUCUUCGAUAUUUCUGGGAUGCACGGGAUGCGGCUGUUUGUUAAGGUACUGUUUACAAUGGCGGUGAAGAAAAACAACAGAAAGGGGUGGCCUUAAUCAAGAGCACGGGUUUCUCUUUAGAAAGGGGCAGCGGGGUAUUCUUAGAACGCUGAGAGGUGGUUGUCUCUCGGUGAUCGAGUCCUUGCCGGGGAUUAUUGAUGCGGCGGUUACAAUGAGAACUGGCCUCUAACUACCUGUAACUCUCCCCGUAAUGGAUAGCCUCUGGGAAAGAAGCCUCUCCUCGAAGCGCCUCGGCUACGCGUAGAUGGCGAGGGGAAACGUAACAAUGCGUCGACUGGAGAACGUAUUUCACGAGUAAAUCGGAAGUCGCCAAAGGUGGAGAGUAAUUAACGCGAAUUGUUUGACGAAGAACCACCGAUAUCAGCUUUAAUAGAGUGUGCACGUGAAACGCGCUUUUGUUAAUUCCUACCAGUCCUAAAUUAAAUCCCACGAUAUUCAUGUAUAUUUAAUAAAUAUGUAUGCGCGCGUGUAUAAUUUGCGUAUUAAUAUUUAAUUAAACUAUAUCGGUGCAUCAAAUAUGCAUCAUACAAGGUAUUAUAGUAUCUUUAUGCAUUAUGCGGGCUGUAUCCUUAAAAUUCAGCGCUGUUCGUCGACUAUUCGGCCGACUAGAGCAAUUUUUGGAAAUGCGUAAGUUCGGUUUUGCCAGGUAUCAGAAGUAGUAAAGAUAGCAGUUCGCGAAUGACAAUUAUGUGAUUACUGCGCCGAUCGUCAGUAGCGCGGCUGAAUGCCGCGCGUUUACGUACCUAAAAUGAGGUAAUACUUCUCUACAACAUCAGAGUACGAGAGCCCUUCGGUGGAGCGCAUCGCGGUCUCGAUUCACGUUCUAAAAAGGGAGCAGCGCAAAUCGAACAUUGGAAACGAUUGUACGUGCGCAUAAAGCCAAGCAUCUGUGAGCUCUUCCCAUGCUCUUCCGUCCCUCCCGUCACUCGCCGCCUCUGUGUACUUUGCGAGUAGUCCCUAAUUGCAGAGCGCGUUGCUCGACGACGGACGAUCGAUGAAUUCGGUCCGGUUCCUAUCCUGGCGCUUCGCCUGAAAAAUGAAUCCGCCCUAGACAAUGUACUCCGCGUGGCGCGUGAUAUAAUUGGGCCGGGAUGUAUGAUUAAUCGAUCGGCAGGUUAGUCGUCGACGAAUCGGAGACAGGCUCGCCGCUCGCUCGUUAAUUACCGUGGCGCCUUGAUGGAUCGCUCGCGCGAAGAUACCGACGCGGUUAAAGUGUCCUUCGCGUAAGGAUUAGUGCCGUUGUUUGUAGCGCACAAUUCUUAGCUCUCUAUAACGCCGGAUGAUCAUUCACGUGGCUUAACGUACGUAGUCUGCAGUAGUGGUUGCAUCGCAUUGCGGAAGCUUCGUCUAAACGGUAUACAAAACGCAGCCGCAUUGCGAUCUGACGUACACUGUCCUCGGGACGAUAUUAAGCUACACGCAAAUGUGAUAUCUUAGGAUUACCGAGGACCGAAGCUGAGGAUUCCUUUGCAGAUUAUGUCUCUGAAUGGCAAAAUUAAUGUAAUAGAUUAAAUCCGCAUUCUUU
This is an RNA transcript of Vollenhovia emeryi, 4017 nucleotides long. RefSeq lists it as uncharacterized. The transcript is spliced from 2 exons. Lineage: Eukaryota; Metazoa; Arthropoda; Insecta; Hymenoptera; Formicidae. The record is from RefSeq and is a predicted model, not a curated record.